RNAcentral lists this ribosomal RNA (448 nucleotides) under Enterobacter roggenkampii. RNAcentral's name for it is "bacterial SSU rRNA". It matches the Rfam family "Bacterial small subunit ribosomal RNA", at positions 1 to 445 of the family's 1533-position model. The record is from RNAcentral. Lineage: Bacteria; Pseudomonadati; Pseudomonadota; Gammaproteobacteria; Enterobacterales; Enterobacteriaceae.
AAAUUGAAGAGUUUGAUCAUGGCUCAGAUUGAACGCUGGCGGCAGGCCUAACACAUGCAAGUCGAGCGGCAGCGGAAAGUAGCUUGCUACUUUGCCGGCGAGCGGCGGACGGGUGAGUAAUGUCUGGGAAACUGCCUGAUGGAGGGGGAUAACUACUGGAAACGGUAGCUAAUACCGCAUAACGUCGCAAGACCAAAGAGGGGGACCUUCGGGCCUCUUGCCAUCAGAUGUGCCCAGAUGGGAUUAGCUAGUAGGUGGGGUAACGGCUCACCUAGGCGACGAUCCCUAGCUGGUCUGAGAGGAUGACCAGCCACACUGGAACUGAGACACGGUCCAGACUCCUACGGGAGGCAGCAGUGGGGAAUAUUGCACAAUGGGCGCAAGCCUGAUGCAGCCAUGCCGCGUGUAUGAAGAAGGCCUUCGGGUUGUAAAGUACUUUCAGCGGGGA